CCCUUAGAUGUCCUGGGCUGCACGCGCGCUACACUGAUGUGUUCAAUAAGCACCUAACCUACUCCGAAGGGACUGGGUAACCUUUGCAAAGCACAUCGUGAUGGGGAUAGAUUAUUGCAAUUAUUAGUCUUGAACGAGGAAUUCCUAGUAAGCACAAGUCAUCAGCUUGUGUUGAUUACGUCCCUGCCCUUUGUACACACCGCCCGUCGCUCCUACCGAUUGAAUGUUCCGGUGAGCUCUUCGGACUGCGCGGUCUGCAGUUUCUGCGUUCCGUGCGGAAAGUUGUGCAAACCUUAACAUUUAGAGGAAGGAGAAGUCGUAACA
Molecule: ribosomal RNA, 324 nt
Filed under: uncultured eukaryote
Lineage: Eukaryota
Description: partial 18S ribosomal RNA
Rfam family: Eukaryotic small subunit ribosomal RNA
Source: RNAcentral